Molecule: non-coding RNA, 1423 nt
Filed under: Pongo abelii (Sumatran orangutan)
Lineage: Eukaryota; Metazoa; Chordata; Mammalia; Primates; Hominidae
Source: RNAcentral
GGAGGAGGAGCUGGCGCGGCGGCCACGGGCGCCCAGCGCGCCUUCUCGGCGCCUGGAGCCAGACGCGAGUAAUCCUGGGUGGCCCGCAGCGGAGCCGUGGCCGGGCUAGAGGAGCCGGCUGGACUGCGGGAGUGCCGGGCGGCUCGCGGUGUCCACCUCGGGCUGCUCCCCUGCGCUGCGUUCUCGCGGCCCCGCGCCGGCGCUGCGCUCUGCGAUGUGAGCCGCUGCGUGUCCAGCCGGGGCUCUGGCGAGGAAACUCACUUCAAAAGCAGCUGCACCAAGGGAGAGAUUAAAGCCUUUGCCGCCUUCCAAUCAAAUGGGAGCCCGAGGUGAUUGGAGGGUCAAGGGGAUGUGACGCGUCCCGCGCCGCCGCCGCCGCCAGGACUCUCAGAGCUGGUUUUAAUGGGCAGCUCCCUCUUCGCCGCCCCCCUGUGUGUCCCCUCCCUCGAUUUCGCUGCGAGGACGAGAUGGACAUUUAUUCUACGUUUACCAUCCGCCGCCUCCCUCUUUUUUCCUCCUCGUCGUUCUUCCUUUCCCCAGCUCGAAAAUAAACUGAAACCUUCUUUUGGAGUGGGGUGCGCGUGAGGAACAGACUGCGGGGGUGUCCAGAAGGAGCACCGGUGGGAGUGUGGACACCGGCCGGACUGUCAACUCCAGGGGCGAAGGGAACCUGCACACCCAGUGUUUUUUCCUUCGCAGUAAUCGAGAUCCCGCGCGGCGCAGCGCAGCCACCAGGAAUCGACGGGAUUUCUCUGGCUGUCGUUUGCGCUGCAUUUAUCCGAAUAAAUCCAGCUCGCAAGCAUCCUGCAAGAAACGGCUCCCGGCUCGCGUGUACACCGACACCUCGGCCCAACGCAGGACUCGAGGUGGCUUCUAGUGCCCGGGUGGCUGCAAGUCUGGCCUCCGAAGGAGGCUGGACAAGCGGCGCCCCCAGGUCGAGCGGCCUCUCGUUGCCUGGCAGUGCCUGGCAGCCCCCCCUCUGCCGGUGCUUCAGCAACCCUCCUGGCCAGGUUCGCCCGCGGUGAAAAAUGAAAGCAAAUUCCCCAACAAAGGUAGCCGGAACUUUCCUCGACGAAGGCUCCCUCCUGCGCCUGUGUCUCGGAGAACCCCCAGAGGGCUGCAAGUUAGCAAGAGAGAUUCGAUGACGGCUCUGGAAGGCGCGCGAAGGGUGGGGCGGGGGGGCAAAGAGGCCACUGGGUGACCCAGCCUGGCCCGGGGUGAAACGCUAGAGAAGGCGCCUCGCCUUCCUUAUUUCAAUGCAACUCCUCGGCCCCAGACGGUAAAAAUAGUUUCCAAGCUGCCGCGGACGCCCAGGAUGUGUUUGCAGAGAUCAAACUGGGGAGGAGGCAGCUUUGUAAAAGUUGCAGAAAGAUUAGCCGAGAAGCGUCCGCCCGGCGGGGCUCAAGAAAGCUUGGGGACAGCU